GUGUACGCAGCUGUUCUGUUGUCAGCUGGGCCUGCAGACAGCGACCGUCAGGUGAUCAAAUCACCAGCUGUGUUGUUGUUGAGAGUGCGUCAAACAAGAGCAAUGACGCAGAGACUGGGCCGGUCGUUGUGAAAGUUCAGGCGGUGGUACCGUAAGUUAUCUCAAGUCUCAAGUGAUAAUCUAAUGUACUUAUUAUCUAAAUAACAAAACUGCUAAUCACAGAAUACUUAUGAUAUAAACGAGAUGCAGAUUUUUGUUUGUCUAUUAUCGAAAUAAUGUUAUAAAAAAUUCAACUCAUCUAAAAAUUUCGGACAGAAAUAAACUACCAGUAAAAUAUACAGCAUCAAUGCACUUUAAGACAAGAGCCAAGUGAAGUGUUAAAGCAAGGACAAGUGGUCGGCUGCUAUCUGGAACACGUCUCUGCCAUUACCACUACAAACAGAGAUAAGCCCGGGUCUUGCUGGCCAGAAGACAACGCUAUUGUUCGAUAGUGACCCUACACUGGACUUUGUCCCCACGAUAUCUCCUAAACACACCAUCACGGACCUUCCAGGAGCCUACUUUCUAGCCGUUCUUCACGGAGGUCAACAAAGAUGUUUGAACACUUUGUCUCCAAAUAAGCUAUAAGGAAAACUGACGACAGAUAAGAUAACUUAUUUCUUUAAAUUCUACAAAGCGCGAUAGCAGCUCUUUAAACAAUAUGUUAUUUAUGGAAUAACUGUAAAUCUUAUCCCAUGAUGUAGAUUGGUUCAAAUAAAUAACUUGAUGAUCCUGAUUUAAAA
Molecule: long non-coding RNA, 782 nt
Organism: Homalodisca vitripennis (glassy-winged sharpshooter)
Lineage: Eukaryota; Metazoa; Arthropoda; Insecta; Hemiptera; Cicadellidae
Exons: 3
Source: RefSeq, a predicted model, not a curated record